This 508-nucleotide ribosomal RNA is filed under the name uncultured bacterium. RNAcentral describes it as "partial 16S ribosomal RNA". It matches the Rfam family "Bacterial small subunit ribosomal RNA", at positions 30 to 523 of the family's 1533-position model. The record is from RNAcentral.
AUUGAACGCUGGCGGCAUGCCUUACACAUGCAAGUCGAACGGCAGCGGGGGAGAAGCUUGCUUUUCCUGCCGGCGAGUGGCGAACGGGUGAGUAAUACAUCGGAACGUGCCCUGUAGUGGGGGAUAACUAGUCGAAAGAUUAGCUAAUACCGCAUACGACCUGAGGGUGAAAGUGGGGGACCGCAAGGCCUCAUGCUAUAGGAGCGGCCGAUGUCUGAUUAGCUAGUUGGUGGGGUAAAGGCCUACCAAGGGGACGAUCAGUAGCUGGUCUGGGAGGACGAUCAGCCACACUGGGACUGGGACACGGCCCAGACUCCUACGGGAGGCAGCAGUGGGGAAUUUUGGACAAUGGGCGAAAGCCUGAUCCAGCAAUGCCGCGUGUGUGAAGAAGGCCUUCGCGUUGUAAAGCACUUUUGUCCGGAAAGAAAUGGCUCUGGUUAAUACCUGGGGUCGAUGACGGUACCGGAAGAAUAAGGACCGGCUAACUACGUGCCAGCAGCCGCGGUAA